UAAUAACUAACGAAACAUGAAGGACCAAAGUUGGAUAAUUGGAAAUAAGGUUUAUUUACUAAAAACAAAAAUAAAAACACACCACACCUAGUGUGUGCGUGUGUGAGGUCGACCAGGAGAAAGCUCAGGGAGCUCAAACCCUAACUUCCACAACUUGAUCAAAUUGAAGCCCAAAUCAAGAGCCAAAUCACUGCAUGAACACAAAUUCGUGAUCACCUAAUCAUGGGGAUUACAAGUUUGACGCGUCACAAGCUAGGUGGAAGCUUGGAGUGAAAGCGGGUCAAACAAGGCAAGCAUGGAAGAAAGGCGUAGCUCGGAUGCAAGGUACUUGUGGAAGCCGGAAGACGAUCAAGCUCAACGAAGAAC
This is a long non-coding RNA of Helianthus annuus (common sunflower), 366 nucleotides long. RefSeq lists it as uncharacterized. The record is from RefSeq and is a predicted model, not a curated record. NCBI's taxonomy places the organism in Eukaryota, Viridiplantae, Streptophyta, Magnoliopsida, Asterales, Asteraceae. The transcript has 3 exons.